AUAGUCUUCAAUAAUAUAAAGUGAAAAUUUACAUUUAUCUGUCAUUAGUAAUUAUGUUUUGUUCUGCCAAUUAUGUAGCUCCAACACUGCCAGACUCUUGCAUGCCACUAGGAAUGAAAUUAGAAGACAACCACACCAAGCUAGUUCCAGUACAAGUUGGAUUGCAACUGCUUCAUCAUGUGUUAUCUGUUAGCUUUGCUGCAAGUACAGAUGAAGAUAUUAUUCAAACUAAUGUUGCUGGAUUCAUUUGUGUCACAGCUGUUGACACAGAAAGACAGAUGUUGACAGUUCUGUCCCCACAACCUCGACCUCUUCCUAAAACAGUAUUCCUACUGAGUGAUGUCCAAUUUAUGGAUUCACAUUAAUGACUUUGUAACGGGUUUGGAAAACAAGACUUAUCUUCACACUGCAAGAUUUUCAUAACUGAUGUUUCACCAGAUGAGCAAAAUGUCAGCUAUGGUAGUUUCAAAUACCAGAAUCUUUGUCAGUACAAAAUUGUACAGUUAUUCUUCGUAAAACUCUUGUUCAAAUCAGUAUUGACAUUUAAUACCUUUAUAUUACUGAUAUCUCAUGCCACUUCUUUUUUUACUAAGCUCAAAAUAUAGAAAUUAAUAAAACAGUGGACAUGCAUUACUUGAAGAAAAAGGUUAAAAUAAAACAAAUAUUGUGUCAUGUGUUUCUGCAACCUAGGAUAAAUAUUCAUUCAGUAAAUUUUUUUUCCCUUUAUUGGAAAGUAACUUGACCUUAUUAAUGGAUAACUAUGUCAGUAGGCUUCAGUAGUUAAAAAAUCUGACAUUAGAGAAAUUUUUUAAACAAAAAAUCUGACGUUAAAGAAAUUUUUAAACCUUUAUUCUUGCAAGAUUUUUAUGUAUUUAUUUCUUCUGGAAAUUAACAGAACUUUUAAAAUGAUCAUAAUGUACAAUGUAAGUCUUAUUA
This is a long non-coding RNA of Limulus polyphemus (Atlantic horseshoe crab), 936 nucleotides long. RefSeq lists it as uncharacterized. Lineage: Eukaryota; Metazoa; Arthropoda; Merostomata; Xiphosura; Limulidae. The record is from RefSeq and is a predicted model, not a curated record. The transcript is spliced from 4 exons.